AGACUCCCUGCUGAGCAGGGAGCCCGAUGCGGGACUCGAUCCCGGGACUCCAGGAUCAUCACCUGAGCCGAAGGCAGUCGCUUAACCAACUGAGCCACCCAGGCGCCCCAUUGUCAUUUUUCUAAGAGCUGUAUUUCAAAAUGGCAUGGCCAUAAAAUGCAGUCAUGAACCAAUUGAAGCUCCCUCAGAGCUUACCAAUUAAUUCAAGUGCAAAAGGACAAUUGAAAUGGAAUAUAAUUAUGUCCCAGACUUAAACAUUUUCCAUCAGCUGCUUUGGUUCUAUCAUUAUAUGUAUUUCCACAUUAUAUUUCCCAUUGUUUCUUCUCAAAGAUUAAGUGGGAUGGCAAUGCUGACAUCCAGCCCAGAUUCAUUUGGUGGAGGAACAUGUCAAUAUCAAGUCCAUUCCUGUUAGGGAUCCUCAGAGUACACGGAGGGGGAGAGGCUUUUGUUCUGAGGACCUAAAAAAGGAAUUUAAAUAUUUAAAAGUGUUGGCAUUUCCUGCUUGCAUUUUACUGAUCACCUUGAUUUGUAACCAAUCCAAGGAAUAUCUGAGAAGAGAGGUCCUUAUUAUAUAUACUUAGCUGUUUAAUAGUUUUCCUCCUCCAGCUAGACUGUAAGGUUUGAAGCCAUAAGGGCUAUCUCCUGUUCGCUGUUGUAUCUCUGUUUAGCACCCAGUCCAGUGUCUGAAAUGUGCAGGUGCUCAGAGAGACAAUAUAGCAUGCUAGCCAAGAGGACCAGCUUUGGAAUCAGUCUGACCUGGCCUUGAAUCCCGGCUCCAUCACUUACGUGCUGUGUGACGUUGGGCUCUUUGGAAGAAAGUCACUAUGUGCAGCCUACACUUCAGGAAUGGGGAGAGAGAGUACAAGCAGGGGGAGCGGCAGGGAGAGGGAGAAGCAGACUCUCCGCUGAGCAAGGAGCUCGACACGGGACUCAAUCCCAGGACCCUGGGAUCAUGACCUGAGCCGAAGGCAGACACUCAACCGACUGAGCAACCCAGGUGUCCCUGGUCAAACAUUAUUCUGGGUGUUUCUGUGAGACUGUUUUGGGAUGAGAUUAACAUUUAACUGAGUAAAGCAAAUUGUGCUCCCUAAUAUAUAGGCCUCACCCAAUCAGUUGAAGGCCUGAAUAGAACAAAAAGGCUGACCCUCCCCCAAGUAAGAGAAGAUUCUUUCUAUUUGACAGCUUUGGAAAUGGGACAUUGGCUUUUUUCCUGUCUUCCGACUUAAACUGAAACAAUGGCUCCUCCUGGAUCUUGGGCUUGCUGCCUUCGGAGUGGAACUAUUCCAUCAGUUCUCCUGAUUCUCAGGCCUUCAGACACAUGCUGGCGCUAAACCAUCAGCUCUCUUGGGUCUUGAGCUUGCUGAUUCACUCUGAAGAUCUUGGGACUUGCCAGAUUCCAUAAUGGCAUGAGCCAGUACUUUCUAAUAAAUCUAUAUACACACACAUCCACACAUAUAUCCUGUUGCUGGGAUAUGAACAACUACAUAUUCUUGCAUCAAGGCCUCCUUCUAUCCUACCCCUUCUAUCCUGCCUCCUGUUUUCUGCCUCAAAUACUCUCCUCCUACCCUUCACUUUAAUGAUUCCUCCUCAUCUUUCAUUUCUCUCAUCUUCCUGUCACCUCUUCAAAGAUGGCUUCCUUGGCCCAGGUUUUUUCCCUUUCCCCUCCUCUUUCCAUCCCUGUUACUUUUAUUUUUAUUUAUUUUUUAUGUUUUUAAAGAUUUUAUUCAUUUAUUUGGGAGAGAGAGAGAGUGAGUGAGUGAAAGAGAGCAUGAGCAGGGGAAGGAGCAGAGGGAAAGGGAGAAGCAGACUCCCUGCUGAGAAGGGAGCCCGAUGCGGGACUCCAUCCCAGGACGCUGGGAUCAUGACCUGAGCUGAAAACAGAUGCUUAACCGACUGAGCCACCCAGGUGCCCCUGUUAUUUUUAUUUUUAACAACUUUUUACUUGAAGCACAUAUGGAAAACUACACACAAAAAAACAUAGCUUAAAGAGUUAUUAUAAAGUGAACACCCUAGAAACCACCACCCAGGUCAAGAAAUAGAACACUGUCAGCCGCACCAGAGCCUCUCCAUGUGCCCCAUCUAAAUCACAGCCUACUCCCUCCCUGCAAAAGUAACCACUAUCUUGACUUUUUCAGGAGUCACUUCCUUGUGCUUCUUUAUGCUUUUAAUCACCUAAGUAUGUAUCCCUAGACACUGAGAUUUUUUUAGUGGUUGCCAUAACACCCUAAAUUCAUGACAAUCUAGUUUAAUAAAGAUUUAUUUAUUUUUAGAGAGAGAGAGUGCGCACGAGUUGGGAGAGGGGCAGAGGGAGAAGGAGAGAAUCUACAAGCAGACUCCCCGCUGAGCCAGGACCCCCCCCCCCCCGCCCAACUCAGGCUGAUCCCAGGAUCCUGAGAUCAUGACCUGAGCUGAAACCAAGACGCUUAACUAACUGAGCCACCCACGUGCCCUUGACGAUCUAGUUUAAAUUGAUAACCAGCUUAACUUCAAUAGCAUACAAAAAUUCUGCUCCUUUGCAACUCCACCCCAACUUUGUUGUCACAACUUACAUUUUGUAUAUUGUGUGCCCAAUAAUACAAGUUUAAAUUAUUUUUAUGCAUUUAUCUUUUAAGUUGUGUAGUAAAUAAAAACAAAGUUACAAACCAAAUAUGCAGUAAUACUGGCUUUUAUAUUUAUGUAGUUACCUUUACUGGAGAUAUUUAUUUCUUUGUAUGACUUCGAGUUACUAUCUAGUAUCUUUGUUCCAACUUGAAGGAUGCCCUUUAGCAUUUCCCGUAGGGCAGGUCUACUGGUAACAAACUUCCUCAACUUAGUUUAUCUGGGAAUGUCUUAAUUACUCCAUUUUUGAAGGACAGUUAUGCCAGUUACAGAAUUCUUAAUUAACAGUUUUUUCUUUCAGCACUUAAUUUAUUUUUAU
Molecule: long non-coding RNA, 2917 nt
Organism: Mirounga angustirostris (Northern elephant seal)
Lineage: Eukaryota; Metazoa; Chordata; Mammalia; Carnivora; Phocidae
Exons: 3
Source: RefSeq, a predicted model, not a curated record